Molecule: ribosomal RNA, 492 nt
Filed under: uncultured bacterium
Lineage: Bacteria
Description: bacterial SSU rRNA
Rfam family: Bacterial small subunit ribosomal RNA
Source: RNAcentral
AGGACGAACGCUGGCGGCGUGCCUAACACAUGCAAGUCGAGCGGAGUUAACAAGAGGAAGUUUCGGAUGGAAUUUGUAAUUAGCGGCGGACGGGUGAGUAACGCGUGAGCGACCAACCUUGCACAGGGGGAUAACGGACCGAAAGGUUCACUAAUACCGCAUGAGACCACGGUGUUGCAUGACACAGAGGUCAAAGGAGCAAUCCGGUGCAAGACGGGCUCGCGUCCGAUUAGGUAGUUGGUGGGGUAAUGGCCCACCAAGCCUAUGAUCGGUAGCCGACCUGAGAGGGUGAUCGGCCACAUUGGAACUGAGAUACGGUCCAAACUCCUACGGGAGGCAGCAGUGGGGAAUAUUGGGCCAAUGGGGGAAACCCUGACCCAGCAACGCCGCGUGAAGGAAGAAGGUUUUCGGAUUGUAAACUUCUGUCCUUGGUGAAGAGAAGAAGACGGUAGCCAAGGAGGAAGCCCCGGCUAACUACGUGCCAGCCGCCGC